ACCUAGAUAUCCCAGUUGGUUAGAGUUUGGUGCCAAUGAUGCCAAGGUUGCAGGUUCGAUCCCUGUAUGGGGCA
Molecule: non-coding RNA, 74 nt
Organism: Podarcis lilfordi (Lilford's wall lizard)
Lineage: Eukaryota; Metazoa; Chordata; Lepidosauria; Squamata; Lacertidae
Source: the annotation of a GenBank genome assembly